GGCGUGCCUAUUACUGCACGUCGAGCGGACAGAUGGGAGCUUGCUCCCUGAUGUUAGCGGCGGACGGGUGAGUAACACGUGGGUAACCUGCCUGUAAGACUGGGAUAACUCCGGGAAACCGGGGCUAAUACCGGAUGGUUGUUUGAACCGCAUGGUUCAAACAUAAAAGGUGGCUUCGGCUACCACUUACAGAUGGACCCGCGGCGCAUUAGCUAGUUGGUGAGGUAACGGCUCACCAAGGCAACGAUGCGUAGCCGACCUGAGAGGGUGAUCGGCCACACUGGGACUGAGACACGCCCCAGACUCCUACGGGAGGCAGCAGUAGGGAAUCUUCCGCAAUGGACGAAAGUCUGACGGAGCAACGCCGCGUGAGUGAUGAAGGUUUUCGGAUCGUAAAGCUCUGUUGUUAGGGAAGAACAAGUACCGUUCGAAUAGGGCGGUACCUUGACGGUACCUAACCAGAAAGCCACGGCUAACUACGUGCCAGCAGCCGCGGUAAUACGUAGGUGGCAAGCGUUGUCCGGAAUUAUUGGGCGUAAAGGGCUCGCAGGCGGUUUCUUAAGUCUGAUGUGAAAGCCCCCGGCUCAACCGGGGAGGGUCAUUGGAAACUGGGGAACUUGAGUGCAGAAGAGGAGAGUGGAAUUCCACGUGUAGCGGUGAAAUGCGUAGAGAUGUGGAGGAACACCAGUGGCGAAGGCGACUCUCUGGUCUGUAACUGACGCUGAGGAGCGAAAGCGUGG
This 740-nucleotide ribosomal RNA is filed under the name Bacillus sp. 'Bacillus M15'. Its description in RNAcentral is "bacterial SSU rRNA". It matches the Rfam family "Bacterial small subunit ribosomal RNA", at positions 41 to 764 of the family's 1533-position model. Lineage: Bacteria; Bacillati; Bacillota; Bacilli; Caryophanales; Bacillaceae. The record is from RNAcentral.